This 273-nucleotide ribosomal RNA is filed under the name Klebsiella pneumoniae subsp. pneumoniae KPNIH20. RNAcentral describes it as "partial 16S ribosomal RNA". It matches the Rfam family "Bacterial small subunit ribosomal RNA", at positions 1 to 268 of the family's 1533-position model. The record is from RNAcentral. Lineage: Bacteria; Pseudomonadati; Pseudomonadota; Gammaproteobacteria; Enterobacterales; Enterobacteriaceae.
ACUUAAAUUGAAGAGUUUGAUCAUGGCUCAGAUUGAACGCUGGCGGCAGGCCUAACACAUGCAAGUCGAGCGGUAGCACAGAGAGCUUGCUCUCGGGUGACGAGCGGCGGACGGGUGAGUAAUGUCUGGGAAACUGCCUGAUGGAGGGGGAUAACUACUGGAAACGGUAGCUAAUACCGCAUAACGUCGCAAGACCAAAGUGGGGGACCUUCGGGCCUCAUGCCAUCAGAUGUGCCCAGAUGGGAUUAGCUAGUAGGUGGGGUAACGGCUCAC